This 413-nucleotide ribosomal RNA is filed under the name marine sediment bacterium BB0608_AND_4.1_5S0. RNAcentral's name for it is "bacterial SSU rRNA". It matches the Rfam family "Bacterial small subunit ribosomal RNA", at positions 78 to 487 of the family's 1533-position model. The record is from RNAcentral.
UUGCUACCCGCUGACGAGCGGCGGACGGGUGAGUAAUGCAUAGGAAACUGCCCAGUAGUGGGGGAUAGCCCGGGGAAACCCGGAUUAAUACCGCAUACGUCCUUCGGGAGAAAGCAGGGGAUCUUCGGACCUUGCGCUAUUGGAUGUGCCUAUGUCGGAUUAGCUGGUUGGUGAGGUAAUGGCUCACCAAGGCGACGAUCCGUAGCUGGUCUGAGAGGAUGAUCAGCCACAUCGGGACUGAGACACGGCCCGAACUCCUACGGGAGGCAGCAGUGGGGAAUAUUGGACAAUGGGGGCAACCCUGAUCCAGCCAUGCCGCGUGUGUGAAGAAGGCUUUCGGGUUGUAAAGCACUUUCAGUGAGGAGGAAAAGUUAGUCCUUAAUACGGGCUAGCCUUGACGUUACUCACAGAAG